GUGCUCACUUCAGCAGCACAUAAACCAAAGUUGGACCCAUACAGAGAAGAUUAUCGUGGCCCCUGCACAAAGAUAGCAUGCAGAUUCUUGAGGCAUUCAGUAUUUUG
Equus asinus (donkey) is the source of this 107-nucleotide small nuclear RNA. Lineage: Eukaryota; Metazoa; Chordata; Mammalia; Perissodactyla; Equidae. The record is from Ensembl.